Molecule: long non-coding RNA, 7346 nt
Organism: Taeniopygia guttata (zebra finch)
Lineage: Eukaryota; Metazoa; Chordata; Aves; Passeriformes; Estrildidae
Source: RefSeq, a predicted model, not a curated record
AUAGUAUACUAUACUAUAUAUAUGUUAGAUUGAUUAGAAGUGCUGUAUUAACAUUUUAAUAGUAUGGUAAAUGUAGUUUUGUAGUUAAAAUAGAAACUAUGUAUGUGGGGUUUUUUUUUUUACGAGAAUGUGAUACUCACUUCGAGAUAACAAUCACAGAACACCCAAAUCUUCCAGAGAAGAGGAAUUUAUGGUUCUCUUUUCUAAUUUCUUCAGGCCUUGCUCAGACUUGAAGACACUGUGGGAAUAAGAAGAAGGAGUUGACAUAUUCCAGACAGAGUUUCCUAUUUUAAAUAGAAUGUGUGCAUAACCAUGAAGUCUGCAUGAAUAUGACAUUAUGAUUUUUACUUGUAUGAGUAUGAUUUUUACAAGUAUGAGUAUGAUUUUUAAGGGUGAUUCCUUUGUUCACGAGACAUGCUUGUCAUGGCUUAAGUGCCCGAGAGCAUCCAGAUGUCUGUAAUUCUUUGAUUUUUAUUGUCUUGCAAUUGUCCUAACUCUAAAUUUUAUUACUCUAAUUGUAUUACUAUUUUUAUAACCAUUUCAUUAUUUUUAAACUUUUUUAAAAACCAAGUGAUUGGCGUUUUUCACACAACCCAGCCAUGAAUACCCAUGGCACAGCUUCUCUGGACUACCUCACCACCCUCACAGUGAGGUAUUUCUUCCCAAUAUCCUGUCCUCUUUCAGCUUGAAUCCAUCCCCCCUUGUCCUGUCACUCCAUAACCCUGUAAACCAUUGCUCUCCAGAUUUCUCCUUAGAAAUAAGGCUUUAUUUAUUAAACCUCUCCUUAUAAUUUAGGCCCUUUCUGAAAGGCCACAGUUAGGUCACAGCAGAGCCUCCUCUCCAGGCUAAGCAAUCUGUGAAAAACACCAAUCACUUGUUUUAAAAUUUUAAAAGUAAUAAAAUAGUUAUAAAAAUAAUAAUAAAAUUAGAGCAGUAAGAAUUUGGACAAUCAGAGUUAGGACAAUAAAAAGCAAAGAAUUACAGAUGUCUGGAUUCUUUUCUCUUGAAAGCAUGGCUCGCUAACAAAGGAUUAACCCUUAAAAGCAACAGCCUGUUGGAUAUUCAUACAUGCUGCAUAAAUUCUUUUCAAACAAAGGGUGUUCUCUGGUUAUUGUCAACUUCUUCCCCUUAAUCCUGGUGGCUCCUUAAAGACUGAGAGGAGGUAGAAGGAUGUUUGUCUUUUCCAAUAAGGAGGCAGUAACUCUUAGGGGUCUUGUUGCUGUUACCGCUGUGCAAAGAAUUUCUUGAUAAUCUCAUCCCUUUCUUGAGCUAGUCAAAAAAUAUCUUACAUCACAUAGUUUCUACUAUUACAUUAUGUUAUAACCUAAAACUCUACUGACCACACUACUUAAAAAGGAUUAAUACAGUACUACAAAAUAACUUCCCAACAUAACACGUAUAGUAUUCAAUAUAAUAUUUGCAAAUAGCCAAUAAUUUAACAUGCAUUUUUCACACAAUCCCAAUUCCCUCAGCCUCUCCUCGUAGCAGACAACCUCCAUCCUGCAAACCACCUUUUGUCUCUUCUCUGGACUCUCCCCACAAGUCCAUGUCCUUCCUGUGCUGGGUGGGGAUCCCAGAGCUCGAUGGGAGAAUGCAGAAACUUCAAAAGCUCUGUAAACAUUCAGUAGGCAAUAUCUGGUUUUAGUUCCAAUAUUGAAAAGGCAGUGUGUUUUUUUGAAUGUAAUUUCUUGAAGGUACUUUGAAAAUCCCUCUGGUAGUGCUGCCUCAGAACAAAUAAAGAGUGCAGAGAUUGAGAUUGCAGUCCUUGAAUUUUUGGAAUAAUUUUGCAGGCUGCAUGCCUUCAUUUCUAGGAAUUAUCAGGCAGGCUUUUUUCAGAAACAAUUUGAAGUUGCAAUGGUAUACAUAUAAAAAAAGGAGUUCUUGCAGGGGAAAAACUUCAUAAUCAAUGAAUUAGUUUUUGCUUAAGCUAAAAAUUGUAUUGGGACAGGCCAUCUCUUUGUAAAGAAGCAGGAAUAUUAGGCAGAGUUCUUGGUUCAGUAUAAUUUCAGGAAAAAAAAACCAACCAUUAUUCCAGAUCCCAGAGUAUGUAGGAAGUAUAUAAAGAAAAACAUGGAUUAAAGGGAUUCAAAAAUAAUAGCCAAAGGCAAAUAAGCUAUUGACUGAGGUGUCAUUCACUGGUGGAAGAAAACAGUGUGUACUGCAGUUGUUUACAGCAGAGCAUCCUGUGGGAAGUGUGCCAAUGGAUGCCUUAUGAAAUGCAUACACAUGGCAAAUUCAGAAUGUGAAAGGCAGCAGUUCAGAUCAAGUUUUAGGGUUCUAUUUAUUUUUCUUUGUUAAUUGCCUUAGAGUUAGUUGUUAAGAUAAAGUACAGCUUUGAAAUCCAAACCUGAACAAUACAUUAAAAUUUCUUUUUCAGAAAGGCUGGCCUUUACCGUUUUUUACCUCCAUCAGCAGUACAGUCCAUGUAACUAUAAUUUACUAUCAGUGUUCAAAAGUGCUUAUUUGUUAUUGAGUCAAUGUAGAUAAAGGAACUGGUCUCACAGAAUCAAAAAUCUUGACAUUUUAUAAAUUCUUUUAAAAAUUAAGUCCUUUAACUACCCGUAGAGAAGACAUUCUGAAAAACAAACACAAAAAACCCUGUCAACCUUACACAAAGUAAGGAAGAAUUCAUGGCUUCUAUAUUUCAUCCAGCAGAACAUGCCACACUUACAUGUGCUCAGAGUCACUUUGAGGACAGCUGAUUUACUCUUGCAGAAUUUGAAUGCAAUAAGGCUGAAAAAAUGCAUCUUUCCACUCCUCAGACGGGAUUUCACAGCCUGCCUGCCAGUUCCAUAAAAGUGACAUUCACUCCUCAGGUUGGCUUCCUCCUCAAUUCCCUAAGGUUCAUUAGAAUUACUUCUGUAUAGCACUCUCAUAUGCAUUGAAAUGGUCAUUUAUGUUGUUUAUUUAAAAGUCCCUAAAUGCUAGAAAUAUUGUAAAAAUUACUUCAAAUUUCUUAGAAAGAGUAGCUGCAGCACCUUAAUAACCAAUUAUGAUUCAUCACCCAUAAAAUGGGCUGGGAACACACUUUCAGCUUGGACAGGAACUUGCUUCAUCAGAGGUUGCCAAACAAGUCUGGAGAAACAAAACAAAGGGCACAGGGUUCUUUAAAAUAUCUGUGCAGCCACCACUUCCUCUCUCCUGCCCUUUGCUUAAGGUGAAGGAAACCCAGCAUUUCAUUGUUAUUGCUGCUGUUUAUUAUGAAACCUGUAAUAAAAAUCAAGGGUGUUUUUUUCCUUCAUCUUCCUUCUCUAAAUCCAGCAAAACUCUCUGAGGUAUAAAUAACCAAGAGCUGUUUAUGGUGGAAGCUUCACAGCUUCAUGGCCUUGAUUGUGUCCACACAUAGUGAUGCUUCACAGUUUUCACAGCUGUUAUUUCCUGUAGGAAGACUAUGGAAUAAACAAAGUUACUCUAGUUUAUCAAUAUAGAAAUAUUUUAAUCUAAAUAAAACCCACAUGCUAGAAAGGAACGCAAGUGCAAGUGUUUUGUGACGUGGCUGGAUUUGUCUGCAGUAUUUUUGCUCUGGCCUUUGACUGCUCUGUUCUGCUGUGUCAGGGAGAAGGCAAUACAAAAUCAUUGGAGCAUGGACUAAAACAAUGAAUAAAGUGACAGAAAUAAGGAGAUUUCCUAGGAAGUACAAACUGGCACUGUGAGCACUUGCAAAGUCAGUAAGCCUUACGUUGAAGACAGAAAAUAUUCUUUGAUGGGUGAACAUCUUCGUGGUCUAUAUUCAGGUGUGAAAGGAAAGGAAUUGCUCCCUGUAAAUCAGGAUUUGCUGAGCAGUUGGACUAACUGCUGCUGCCCAAAGCUGAGGAGUCCUCAGGGAUUUACCAAUGAUUGUUUGCAGGCUCUUCAUCUGUGAUCUCUGCAAACUAACAAAGCAGAGAGAAUGGACAAUGUGAUGGACAAAUUUAGUAUUGAUAAGAACUUGGCAACACACUUGGCAAAGCUUCACUCAAACCUCCUGAAGUAAUUUUAAUCACUCAGAAAAUGAACCUGGCUGACCCUGUUUGGAGUACAAUAAAACAGGCCAGGGAGGCAAACAAAAACAGAAGGGGGAAAUUGUACUGCACUUCAUUUAAUAAGGCUGCUUUCAUAAUCACUAAAAAGUGUAUUGUUCCUUGAUCUGAAAGAACCUCCACACAUUCACCUGACAUUUAUUAUUGGUGGUUUAUACUCAUGAGUGUUUAAUAUACUGCUUGCCAGACUGUAAUUUAGUCAAGAGACCUUCACUAACCAGAGGAAGAAUACACUAGCACAAAAAAUUAUUUAUUAUUGCUGUUUCAUAGGAAAAUCAUUGUAUCAUGGCUAAUACCACUGUUGCUUGUUCUCUUGACCAAGUAAACUUUUUCCUUUACUGAGGAAAACAAUAAGCACACCAUUUAUUUCUUUGCACCCACUUCUAGUGUAUGGGAACAGAAGACUGUUGCAUUGUUUAAAGAAAUAAAUUACCAUUUUUAAGUUAACCAGAAUUAAAUUUCAGAUACUUACAUUUGUAGUUCAUUAUAUCCAGCUAUAUAUAUAUAUGGCAAAUAAGUAUAUUUCAUUUUUGUGUUUUAUCCAGUGCAAAAAAAUGCACUUCUAGACUAUCCUUUCCUUUAUGGUAUUUGUAAAAAAUAUAUGCCUAGUAUUAGAUUUGUCACACUGAUCCUGCAGACUGGAAAAAAAAACCAUGCCCAGCUGAUAAAACAAAACUGAUAAAUCAGGUUUGUUCUAUGCAAUAUGAACAGAAAUGGGAUUGGGACAUUUUGGGGAGAAAUAGUAUGGUAUGACUCCAAGAAAACCUAUACAGAAAAAGAACCAGAAGUGAUUUUUAGAUAAAAUAAUCACAUGAAUUAUACUUUCCUCAUGCAGGGAAAAAAAGAUUUUGUGUUAAAGUCUGACGUUGUAGGAGCACUGAUCCACUCGUUCAUUUUGGCAGGGCCCCUCAGGACGGAGUCUGCAGGAUAAAUACACAUUGUUAGCAUUCCUAAAGGAGCAUCCAUGCUUUGUUGCCAGGAAACAAUAAUGGAAGUAUAGGGAUGCCAGUUUGAUGACAGGGAUACAGGGCAGUGGCAUUAAUCCCAUGCUUUGCAGACCUGCAAUCUCUAUUAUUUGCAAACAUAAAUGCCAGCACAUCCUGUCAUUUUUUUCUGAGUAUUGCUUGGCUAAUGGAUUUAGAGAAAUGUAGAAUACUAGAAGAGCUCAAGCCAACUACAGCAUCAUCUUAGGUCUCUGAAAGCCUUCCCCUACCCUGUAGAAUGUGGUUUUAUGAUAUAUUGUGCUCAUGCAUAAAAUAUUUGUGCUUUUUGUUUUCUAGGUAAGAAGAGUACAACUAAAAUGACUUGCAUGUGCAAGGAUCAGGGUCCAUCAAGUGUUGUCAUUAUUAAGCCAAGGGAUGCUCGUAUUUUCACUGUAAGAGGCAAGGAAAUUAAGAUGAGGCUUUUCUAGAUAAGUUUGCCUGUGAGCAGAAUUAAGAUACACCUUUGAUAAGUCCCAAGGGUGGGGAUGCAGUGGUCGGGAUUUUAUGUGAAUUUGAGUGCUUUUUUUUUUUUUUUCUUGUGUGCAGAAUCUUCUAGUGGCAAAGAAACAAGUUUGAUAUUUAUGCAUUCAUAAAAUAAUAGAAUUUUUAAUGCUUUGUUCCAUACAGGGUACUUUAUGCUGUCCUGCUGACUUUCAAGGGAUUAAUCUCUAGUAAGGGUAAUGGAACCUUGAAAAACCUUAUGAUUCUGCUUCCUUGAUUUUUACCACUCCUUCAGAAUAAUUUGUUCAAAUGUGUGUAUUAGGAAUAUAGUGAAUUAUAGCAAAGACCUCAGAGAAAUCUAGAUUUUUAUUUUUUUUAAAAGCAAGAGCUAAGUUUCACUUUGACUUAUCACUUGUAAUUUGGCUGAAAAUUUCCAAGGCAUGGAAAAGCCUCAUGAAAUACCUUAUUGCACUGGAGUUCUGCUGGACUUGCAUACAGGAGACUUCUUGCAGGUCAGGGGGCUGAGUAUAAUCCUCCAGGAAAGCUUCUGUUCAUGCCACUCAUGGCCUUGCUCUGCAGCCUGAUGUCUUACAAGAUGAAGACUGAAGAACAUUUUCCUGCCUGAAAUCUAGAUACCUCACAGCAAACAUAGCUGAGUUCCCGGGUUUAACAUGCCUGACAGGUGCUCUUCACAGCCUUUAACUCUUGCUGAGGAUGUUGCCAUGAGCAUUAUCUGUUUUGCUUCUCCUGAUGGAGAAGGAAGAAAUGACUCUCAGUAACAUUACAUACAGUAAUUCAUUAAACAUUAUUAGAUCUUUCUGCAGUUUGCUUGCUUGCUUAUCAGGCCUUGUCAUGUUUUCUUUUGGACACAACACAUUGCCUUGGUGUUAAUUGAAAAUCAGAAAAGAGCAAAAGGGAGAGCUCAGAGACUGCCACUGUCCAUGGAUUGUAAAUAAUAAGAACUUGAUAAGAAAAAAAAUAUCAGAACAUCUCCCUAUUAUAUUUAAUAAUGGAACAACAUACUGCUAUGUUUUUGGAUGAUUGGAUGUUCUUGGACGGGAAAAUUAAUGAAUUGAACAAUAAACAAUCUCAUUUCUCUUUCCAGCUGUGUAGAAAUUAAAUGUCAAAUACAGCCACUUAUUCUUCAUUUCCACUUCUCUGUAGCAUACUUUCCCUUAUCAGGCUGCUUAAGUGAAAGUGAAGCAGAGAGGGGACAAAAAACAACCUCAUUUCUAAAAAGGCAGAAACACAUUUAAAAUGCUAAAGCAUACUCUGCAAAACUCAAAGAGUGCUCUUCAUAAUGAGAAAAGUUUCUGUGCAAAGCCAUCUCCCAUGAAUAUUUUGACAUAAAAACAUAGUGGCUGUGUUUUCACAGAGUUCAAGGUAACAGUUGUGUGUCAAAGGAGUAAGUUGUCUCCUCCAGAAUACAUAUCUGUGACCAAUACAUCUGCUUCCCUGUUAUAUACCUUUUUUGCUCAUUUCCACAUGAAGUAUGUUUAAAAUGCUUUGAAACUGAAGAGGAAAGCACAGCAAAUAUGAAUGUGUAUAUAUAUGCAUAUAUAACCAAGUGGUUUCCUGAAAUAAGGUUUAGCCAGGUGAGAGGUUCACCCCUUUGUAGUCUUAAGCCACACCAGGGGAGGUUCAUGUGGGACUUCUUGAAGUUUCUUCCCAGAAGGGGUGAUUAGACAGUGGAAUGAGCUGCUCAUGGAGGUGGUGGAGUCACCGUCCCUGGAAGUGUUUAAGGGAAGACUGGAUGCGCCCUAUCUAGUUUCAAGGUGGUGUUUAAUCAGAGGUUGGACUUGAUGAUCUCAGAGGUCUUUUCCAAGCUAAUUGAAUCUGCAAUUCUGUGAUAUAAGCGUAUAUAUACGACUAUGUUAUCAAUGAAAAUUAGUCCAGCCAAAUU